Molecule: ribosomal RNA, 255 nt
Filed under: uncultured bacterium
Lineage: Bacteria
Description: partial 16S ribosomal RNA
Rfam family: Bacterial small subunit ribosomal RNA
Source: RNAcentral
GACAGAGGAUGCAAGCGUUAUCCGGAAUGAUUGGGCGUAAAGCGUCUGUAGGUGGCUUUUUAAGUCCGCCGUCAAAUCCCAGGGCUCAACCCCGGACUUGCAGUGGGUACGGGCAGACUAGAGUGUGGUAGGGGAGACUGGAAUUCCUGGUGUAGCGGUGAAAUGCGCAGAUAUCAGGAGGAACACCGAUGGCGAAGGCAGGUCUGCUGGGCCACUACUGACGCUGGAGAAGCGAAAGCAUGGGGAGCGAACAGG